This 240-nucleotide ribosomal RNA is filed under the name uncultured bacterium. Its description in RNAcentral is "partial 16S ribosomal RNA". It matches the Rfam family "Bacterial small subunit ribosomal RNA", at positions 118 to 351 of the family's 1533-position model. The record is from RNAcentral.
UGAGCAACCUGCCCUUCUCAUCGGGAUAAGCGUUUGGGAAAACGACGUCUAAAUGCCGAAUACGACCUCCUUUCGCAUGAUCGGAGGUGGAAAAGCUCCCGGCGGAGAAGGAUGAGCUCGCGGCCUAUCAGCUAGUUGGUGUGGGUAAUGGCCCACCAAGGCGACGACGGGUAGCCGGCCUGAGAGGGCGACCGGCCACACUGGGACUGAGACACGGCCCAGACUCCGUACGGGAGGNAG